UGGGGAAUCUUGGACAAUGGGGGCAACCCUGAUCCAGCCAUGCCGCGUGGGUGAAGAAGGCCUUAGGGUUGUAAAGCCCUUUCAGUCGUGACGAUGAUGACGGUAGUGACAGAAGAAGCACCGGCUAACUCAGUGCCAGCAGCCGCGGUAAUACAGAGGGUGCAAACGUUGCUCGGAAUGACUGGGCGUAAAGCGCGCGCAGGUGGCCCGUUAAGUCGGCUGUGAAAUCCCCUGGCUCAACCAGGGAAGUGCAGUCGAUACUGGCGGGCUCGAGUCCCGGAGAGGGUGGUAGAAUUCCCAGUGGAGAGGUGAAAUUCGUAGAUAUUGGGAGGAAUACCGGUGGCGAAGGCGACCGCCUGGACGGGUACUGACACUGAGGCGCGAAAGCGUGGGGAGCGAACAGGAUUAGAUACCCCUGUAGUCC
This 424-nucleotide ribosomal RNA is filed under the name uncultured prokaryote. Its description in RNAcentral is "bacterial SSU rRNA". It matches the Rfam family "Bacterial small subunit ribosomal RNA", at positions 355 to 796 of the family's 1533-position model. The record is from RNAcentral.